CAGCCGCCGCGGGAAUACGUAGGUCCCGAGCGUUGUCCGGAUUUAUUGGGCGUAAAGCGAGCGCAGGCGGUUAGAUAAGUCUGAAGUUAAAGGCUGUGGCUUAACCAUAGUACGCUUUGGAAACUGUUUAACUUGAGUGCAAGAGGGGAGGGUGGAAUUCCAUGUGUAGCGGUGAAAUGCGUAGAUAUAUGGAGGAACACCGGUGGCGAAAGCGGCUCUCUGGCUUGUAACUGACGCUGAGGCUCGAAAGCGUGGGGAGCAAACAGGAUUAGAUACCCCAGUAGUCCCUGUCUCUUAUACA
This 301-nucleotide ribosomal RNA is filed under the name uncultured bacterium. Its description in RNAcentral is "partial 16S ribosomal RNA". It matches the Rfam family "Bacterial small subunit ribosomal RNA", at positions 509 to 808 of the family's 1533-position model. The record is from RNAcentral.